GCUUGCUGGUGUGGAUGAGUGGCGAACGGGUGAGUAAUACGUGAGUAACCUGCCCUUGACUCUGGGAUAAGCCCGGGAAACUGGGUCUAAUACUGGAUGCUACAUGUCACCGCAUGGUGGUGUGUGGAAAGGGUUUACUGGUCUUGGAUGGGCUCACGGCCUAUCAGCUUGUUGGUGAGGUAAUGGCUCACCAAGGCGACGACGGGUAGCCGGCCUGAGAGGGUGACCGGCCACACUGGGACUGAGACACGGCCCAGACUCCUACGGGAGGCAGCAGUGGGGAAUAUUGCACAAUGGGCGAAAGCCUGAUGCAGCGACGCCGCGUGAGGGAUGACGGCCUUCGG
Molecule: ribosomal RNA, 344 nt
Filed under: Kocuria palustris
Lineage: Bacteria; Bacillati; Actinomycetota; Actinomycetes; Micrococcales; Micrococcaceae
Description: bacterial SSU rRNA
Rfam family: Bacterial small subunit ribosomal RNA
Source: RNAcentral